CAUCAGCAAAAAAUCUGAGACGGCCAAGUUCAUCACGAGCAUAUUGGCCGGCGUUCUGAGUGCCGGGAAGCUUCCCAAGAUUCUCAACACCAUCCAAUUGCCACCGAUGGCCACAACACCUUUUAUCAUCAAACGAAACAAGCAUCGUACUGGUUGAACUCCGUGAGUUUUUUUUUUGCUUCGUCAUGACAUCUCCCAAGCACUUGUAACUACAGGUUCAAUACAAACAGUGGAUCAAUGGCAUCGAAUUAGAAUCGACGUUCGCCCUACAAUAAGUACCAUUGCGACAAUGCACUGCAAAUCAGUUUUCAGUUGCCGUUCAUCUGCGGGGAGGUACGCUGCUGCGGUCUUCUGCGCCAAAGCCAUGACUGUCAUUUCUGCUGAACGAUUCGUUGUCACUCUCGUAUCGUUAACGGUUCAAGAAAGUCAUUCGUAAUACAAAAGAAAAACAAACUUUCAAAAGGAAAUAAAUUACAAAAUUAACUAGUGCUUUGUAAUUGGAUUGGAUACACAUCUACAGACUAGAUGACGUUUUUCUUCGUUACAAAUGCUUUAUCUUGGAAAA
Long non-coding RNA from Daphnia carinata, 565 nucleotides. RefSeq lists it as uncharacterized. The transcript has 3 exons. The record is from RefSeq and is a predicted model, not a curated record. NCBI's taxonomy places the organism in Eukaryota, Metazoa, Arthropoda, Branchiopoda, Diplostraca, Daphniidae.